GAGACAGUUAAACUCAUAAAUCGAAAAUAAACUGACAACGGCGUGCUAAAAAUGAAAGAAGACAAACAGACAAACAAAAGAACACAUGACACAACACGAACCCCACCAAAACUAGGGGUGAUCCCAGGUGCUCUGGAAGGGUAGCAGAUCCUGAUCCACAUGUUGCACCCGUCGUGUAGCUUAAAAGCGUUGUUGGUUUGUUUUUCUCUAUUCUUGACGUCUGCUGACAAUGAGAACAACAUUUUAUAUCAUAAAUUGAUAAACAUAUGUUGUGUACUGACAUGUUAACUGGUCAGAAAACGAACAUGGCGUUGUCAGUUUAUAUUCGAUAUAUGAGUUUGACUGUUCCUGUGAUAUCUUUCGCCCCUCAUCCACUUUCUGUAUUUAUGAAAUCGGUAAAACAAAAUGAAUUUCAAAUUGAACUAAAAUGAUGUGACAGUACUUACGCAGAGAUAAUAAAUAACGUCAUAUUU
Molecule: long non-coding RNA, 473 nt
Filed under: Mytilus galloprovincialis (Mediterranean mussel)
Lineage: Eukaryota; Metazoa; Mollusca; Bivalvia; Mytilida; Mytilidae
Source: RNAcentral